ACAGGUUUCGACGGGGAUUUGGAGUCAUUAGUAGCGAGUCAUGUUUUGCUUGGUAGCAUGUAAAAAACUGAGCAAUAAAUAUAAACGCAAACGAUAAUUACGCUUUAGCAGCUUAAUAAAAGCCGCUCGUUUCUACUAGGUAACCCACAGCCUAGCUAGAAACGUCAUUAUAGUGGGGAACGUCUUAAGGGUUGCCUUGACCUUAAGUUGUAUAAUUAAGGCUGGCCGAGUCUAUAUUUUGUUGUUGGAAGAUAGACAAGGCGAGAUCCAAAUCAACAACUACACUCGUAGAAGCUACUGAUAAAGGGUCUUCGGACAGGGGUUCGAUUCA
This 331-nucleotide transfer-messenger RNA is filed under the name Clostridiales bacterium. It matches the Rfam family "transfer-messenger RNA". Rfam says of the family: Bacterial tmRNA, also known as 10Sa RNA or SsrA, is named for its dual tRNA and mRNA-like properties. Lineage: Bacteria; Bacillati; Bacillota; Clostridia; Eubacteriales. The record is from RNAcentral.